Small nuclear RNA from Callithrix jacchus (white-tufted-ear marmoset), 106 nucleotides. The record is from Ensembl. NCBI's taxonomy places the organism in Eukaryota, Metazoa, Chordata, Mammalia, Primates, Cebidae.
GUGUUUGCUUUGGCAACACAUAUACUAACAUUGGAACAAUACAGAGAAUAUUAGCAUGGCUCCAGAGCAAAGUGUUCCAUAUUUCUCAGAAAGACUCAAAAAUAUU